Molecule: ribosomal RNA, 109 nt
Filed under: uncultured Desulfovibrio sp.
Lineage: Bacteria; Pseudomonadati; Thermodesulfobacteriota; Desulfovibrionia; Desulfovibrionales; Desulfovibrionaceae
Source: RNAcentral
UGGUGGCCAUAGAGGAGAGGGUACACCCGACCCCAUUCCGAACUCGGAAGUUAAGCUCUCCAUCGCCGAUGAUACUGCAUAACGUCAUGUGGGAAAGUAGGCCGCUGCC